CGGUGACGACCCAGUCCUCGUUCGCGACCGCGGCGACGAACGACACCGACGGCGCGGCGACGCCGGGGAGCGCGGGGUCCGGGAGAAGCAGACGGUACGACCCCGCGCUCGGGUCGAACCGCGGCUCGAGCGUCCCGACGCUGGGGGUCAGGGACUCGAGCCACGCGGCCGCGUCCGGGGUCACGAUCGCAAUCUUCGUGGGCAAAUCUUGAAGGAGGUUGACCGCGUCCACCCCGCCCGAGCCGACUUCUUCGCGGCCGACGAAAUCCCUCGCGACGACGUAGGCGUCGUACCGCGUCGACGGGGACAGACCCGUGAGCGUCAAAACGAGCGGGAGCACGUCGUCGCCCGCGCCCGAACGCUUCGACUCCGUGUCCCCGAGCGCGGAGCUCGCGCGCGCCGACGCGAGCGCGGGCGAGGUGGCCGUCACGGCGACGUGCGCGACGCCGCUCGUCGCCCCCGCGGCGGCGGCGGCGACGGCGGCGACGUCCGCCGACGUCGGCGUCGCGACGGACCCGAACGGCACGACGACGACCCACACCGCGGCGGUCUCGUCCACGCGCACCUCCAGCGUCGCGCCCGUGGGCACGACCGCGGCGACGCGCGGGUGCCCGGGGAGGAAGAACGGCGGCGUGUUGUCGAGCGUGCGGAUCGUCCGCGACACCGCGCGAGGGGGCGCGUUGGCGUACGGCGUCGAGACGCCGUCGGGGCCCGUCGUUGUCGCCGCCGCGGCGUGGACGGCGACGGCGUAGACGUCGUACAGAACGCCUUUCGUGAGGUUUACUAUCCCGCCGCCGAUCGCGGUGGGCGUGAACGCGGUGAGGACGUCGCCGUGACCCGCCGUGGAGGACGAGCGGGUGUCCGGGAAAUCGGAGCCGCCGCCGCCCGGGGAGGCGCCGUGCGCGUCGACGCCCGCGAGAAUUUGCGCCGGCGACGGCGCCUUCGCGCCGUGCUUUAACAGCACGUACGCGACUUUCGCGGGGACGGCGCUCAGGGAAAACUGCGGCGUGAUCGACGUCUCCCCGAUCGCGUUGACCCCGACGCAGUCCGCGCCUUUCGCCGGGGUUUCGCCCGCGGCCACCGCGGCGGCAUCCGGGACGAGCCCGGGCGCGACCUUCGCGGCGUUGGUCCGCGCGACGUUCCCCGGCGCCGCGCCGUCGCCGGAGAACGCGACGUCGCCGCCCGCGCUCGACGCGACGACGGCGACGAAGACGUCGUACCCCGCGCUCGCGCUCGACACGGACUGACCAGCCCCGAGGGACACGUUCGCAGACGCGAGAGCGUUCGCGGUCGGCGCGGACACGACGCCAGCCGCGAGCGGCGUCGCGCCCGCCGCGUCCGUCCCCGCGACCACCCGCGCUCUCGUCGGUUCGCUCGCGCCGCCGUCGACGACGACGUAGUACGCGUCCCCGGGAACGUCGAACGCGAUAGACAACGUGAACGUCCCGGAAGGCGACGCGUUCGCGACGAGCGGGACGCCGAACGUGGUCCCCGUCGCCGGGGAGGUG
This 1508-nucleotide long non-coding RNA is filed under the name Micromonas pusilla. RNAcentral describes it as "long non-coding RNA (MPUS_LNC000051)". Lineage: Eukaryota; Viridiplantae; Chlorophyta; Mamiellophyceae; Mamiellales; Mamiellaceae. The record is from RNAcentral.